Molecule: ribosomal RNA, 492 nt
Filed under: uncultured bacterium
Lineage: Bacteria
Description: partial 16S ribosomal RNA
Rfam family: Bacterial small subunit ribosomal RNA
Source: RNAcentral
AGUGAACGCUGGCGGUAGGCCUAACACAUGCAAGUCGAACGGCAGCACAGUAAGAGCUUGCUCUUACGGGUGGCGAGUGGCGGACGGGUGAGGAAUACAUCGGAAUCUACUUUUUCGUGGGGGAUAACGUAGGGAAACUUACGCUAAUACCGCAUACGACCUACGGGUGAAAGCAGGGGAUCUUCGGACCUUGCGCGAUUGAAUGAGCCGAUGUCGGAUUAGCUAGUUGGCGGGGUAAAGGCCCACCAAGGCGACGAUCCGUAGCUGGUCUGAGAGGAUGAUCAGCCACACUGGAACUGAGACACGGUCCAGACUCCUACGGGAGGCAGCAGUAGGGAAUAUUGGGCAAUGGGCGAAAGCCUGAUCCAGCCAUGCCGCGUGGGUGAAGAAGGCCUUCGGGUUGUAAAGCCCUUUUGUUGGGAAAGAAAAGCAGCAGGUUAAUACCCCGCUGUUCUGACGGUACCCAAAGAGUAAGCACCGGCUAACUUCGUG